This 69-nucleotide antisense RNA is filed under the name Saccharothrix sp. ALI-22-I. RNAcentral's name for it is "ASpks TB sRNA". It matches the Rfam family "ASpks TB sRNA". Lineage: Bacteria; Bacillati; Actinomycetota; Actinomycetes; Pseudonocardiales; Pseudonocardiaceae. The record is from Rfam by way of RNAcentral.
CUUCAGGGAGGCCAGCCACAACGGGCGGUCGCGGUCCUUGCCAUAGGUGGCGAGCACGGCGUGGGCCUC